UACGGAGGAUGCGAGCGUUAUCCGGAUUUAUUGGGUUUAAAGGGUGCGUAGGCGGAUCGUUAAGUCAGUGGUCAAAUUGAGGGGCUCAACCCCUUCCCGCCAUUGAAACUGGCGAUCUUGAGUGGAAGAGAAGUAUGCGGAAUGCGUGGUGUAGCGGUGAAAUGCAUAGAUAUCACGCAGAACCCCGAUUGCGAAGGCAGCAUGCCGGCUUCCUACUGACGCUGAAGCACGAAAGCGUGGGGAUCGAACAGA
RNAcentral lists this ribosomal RNA (252 nucleotides) under uncultured bacterium. RNAcentral's name for it is "partial 16S ribosomal RNA". It matches the Rfam family "Bacterial small subunit ribosomal RNA", at positions 524 to 776 of the family's 1533-position model. The record is from RNAcentral.